This 655-nucleotide ribosomal RNA is filed under the name Escherichia sp. C5. RNAcentral describes it as "bacterial SSU rRNA". It matches the Rfam family "Bacterial small subunit ribosomal RNA", at positions 79 to 713 of the family's 1533-position model. The record is from RNAcentral. Lineage: Bacteria; Pseudomonadati; Pseudomonadota; Gammaproteobacteria; Enterobacterales; Enterobacteriaceae.
GCUGCUUUGCUGACGAGUGGCGGACGGGUGAGUAAUGUCUGGGAAACUGCCUGAUCGGAGGGGGAUAACUACUGGAAACGGUAGCUAAUACCGCAUAACGUCGCAAGACCAAAGAGGGGGACCUUCGGGCCUCUUGCCAUCGGAUGUGCCCAGAUGGGAUUAGCUACGCUAGGUGGGGUAAAGGCUCACCUAGGCGACGAUCCCUAGCUGGUCUGAGAGGAUGACCAGCCACACUGGAACUGAGACACGGUCCAGACUCCUACGGGAGGCAGCAGUGGGGAAUAUUGCACAAUGGGCGCAAGCCUGAUGCAGCCAUGCCGCGUGUAUGAAGAAGGCCUUCGGGUUGUAAAGUACUUUCAGCAGCGGGGAGGAAGGGAGUAAAGUUAAUACCUUUGCUCAUUGACGUUACCCGCAGAAGAAGAAGCACCGGCUAACUCCGUGCCAGCAGCCGCGGUAAUACGGANAGGUGCAAGCGUUAAUCGGAAUUAACUGGGCGUAAAGCGCACGCAGGCGGUUUGUUAAGUCAGAUGUGAAAUCCCCCGGCGCUCNAGCCUGGGAACUGCAUCUGAUACUGGCAAGCUUGAGUCUCGUAGAGGGGGGUAGAAUUCCCACAGGUGUAGCGGUGAAAUGCGUAGAGAUCUGGAGGAAUACCGGU